UAUUGUCUAACGCGUCCAAGGCGACAGACACUGGCGGAUUUAUAGAUGACAUGUGCCGGGAAUUGUGCUCUCCUUCAUGACAGUUUGAUAAGACGAGAACUAUUUGCCAGGGAAUCUAGGGUGACCACCAGCACAAGGUGUGCUUGCUGCCUGGCUGUACAUUCGUUUCAUUGCCAUAAAUUUGUAUAAAAUUUUACACAAAAAUGGCAGCAGAAACGGCAAGCUCUCGGGAACAGGCAAAACAUUAUUUGUCCACACACAAAAUCCCUCAGAUGUUUGAAAGCCUUCUGAGUUGCUUGAUGCUAGAAAGGCCUGAUGAUCCUGUCAUUUAUAUUGAGAAAAAGAUGGCAGAGAUUAAGGAAGUUGGACUAGAAAACGUCAACUGGGAAACCUUUGUAUACCAUCUUCAUCCAUACCGGGACAUUGUCAGACGAAGGCAUGUCCACGAUGGAAGUAAAUUUGAUAAAGAACGUGAGCUUGAUGAAACAUCAAAAUUAGAAAUUGAAAGAUCAAAAUCUCUUAGUCGAGGAAGCGACUACAAACCUGAAGUUUUUCAACUAACAGAGGCGGCUCAAUAACAGAAUACACAUAGAGAUGUGUUUUGAACUGUGUAUCAAUAAGAAAAUGAGUUGAUUUUUUAUAUUUAAGAUGUUCAUGUCAGUCGAUUUUCACCUCAGGCAUCUGUUUAUUUUAUCAAAUAACUAUUGAGAGGUUUUUAGAACAUGCAUUACAAGGUGAUGCCAGAAAUGUAGGAAUCUAUCUGGAGAUACGUUAUAUGAUUACACGUACGAUAGUUAAUAAAAAAAAAAACAGCUGGAUUUAUUUUGAUAACCACACUGGUUGAAAUCUUUUUUUCACAUGAAAUAUUCUGAUGUUCAUAUUGUUUAUGUUUCACUAUUCUCUGGUCUUACACUCUUUCAACAGGUAUUUGUGUCAUUUGUGUUAAAAUGGAGAAAUUUUUCUGUUUAAAAAAAUAUCUAUGUGUAAAUAUGUGUCAUCGAUGUGAAAUACAGAAGAGUCAAGAUUGGUUUUGCAGUGUGUGUUUUUACUUUCAUAGUAAGUAAUCUAACUACAAAUGAACCAGCUUAUGCAAUGUUUUCACACUUUUAAUCAAUCAGAAUAGUUCUGUAAAAAUUAUCAUCUCUGACUGUAUUCCAGGGACUUUUAUUUUAGAUAUCAAAUAUCAUUUUUUAGUGGGACAUUUCUAUAAACAAAAAUUCAAACUUUACAAACUUGCUAUUGUCCGAGUAUAUAUAUUUCCUGAACAGUUUCAAUGACAUUUGGAAUAUAUAAUUACUGCAAUUUCAAGGUACAGAUAAUAUGCAUGGUUAUAAACUUGUAGGUUGGUGCGGGUACAUGUAUAUUAGAAUAAGUUGUAACUGGUUCCGUUAUUUAGAAUCAACAAAAUAUCUUGGUCUACAACUUCAGAAUGACAUUUUAUUUACAUGUUAACAGUUUUUGACAAUGAGUUAAAAUACUCCAAUCAGCUUUUUGUUGUAGUUUAAUAUGAUAAUUGGAUCAUAUUACCUGAAAUCUUUUUAAACCCAGAUUUUGUUAUAUCUAAUAUAAAUUUUAAAACUACAUAUCAGUUUUUCGAAGUGAAAAUGAAAUCAAAAUUAAUCUAGGACUAUGUUCUUUUAUUCAGUUAAGAUCAUCUAAAAUUUAAUGUUAAAGUUUGUAUUCAGUUAAGAUCAUCUAAAAUUUAAUGUUAAAGUUAGUUGACCAAUGAUAUAAUGUAACUAGUGGUAUAAGAUGUUUAGUUAUGUAUCUAGUAUGUAGAUAUUCAGUAUCUUAGGUUAGAUUUUAGUAUUUGAAUGCAAGACUUACAACUAGAUAAUCAGGAAUUUGGAGAGGAGCAUUAAGAUUUGAGGGUCAAUAAUGAAGAGAGAUGGAAGCUAUGUCAAACAUUAUCUUCUAUAUUUGACAAUCUUUGUAUAUCUGAAGAAAUUAACUAGUCUUUUAUUAUUGAACAUUUUUUACUUGCAUCAAUUUUUUUUUUGUAUAAUGAUAAGUAUGACUGAGAGAGCAUUGUUUCUUGCCAAGAUAACAAGAUUGCUGAUUUUUUACAAGGAUUCUGUGGGUAAUUAAGAUACAUGUCUAUGAUAUGUCAUACAACUUUCAUACAGCAUUUUUUUGGGAUGUCUGCAUUAACAGAAUCCCUAAAUGUGGAAGAUGUAUAUAAAACUGACAUGGUAGAUUAUAAGUGUGCUAUACAAGUUUUUGAAGAGACAUCAGAAACUAAAAUUUUGUCAGGAUUUUAUGCAUUGUAAAUAAGGUUAAUGUCUACUUUUAUAUUGUUUAAAUUUUUAAUUGAAAAUUAAAAUGUUAUUAUAUCAAACAUAGGAAUUUAAUAUUUAAUCAUGUUCAUAUUACUUUCAAUACAGUUUGUUUACAAGUCUAUCACAAUGAAGACAAGUUUUUUCAUUGAUUUUAGUGUAAGUUAAAUGAUGUAUUACUUAAACUGAAGCAGUGAUUUGGGGAGUUACAAGCAUUGGUAACCAUUGAAAAGUAUGCCAAAAAUCUAUACAUGUACUUUAUGCUGCUAAAACAGGGUGUGAUAAUGAUGUUUUUAAAGAAGUUAUGUUUAUGGCCAUUUUUGGCUUUACACUGCAGGAAACGGACAUGUCUAGUGACAAUGAUCCUAAGAUAUCUAAAGCAGACAAUGUGUUUUAAUGUAUUGGAGGUGACCGUCCUGAUGUACCAUAUACACAUAGUCUGAUAGGAGUUAGAUAGAUGUAAAUGGUGUUAUG
Molecule: long non-coding RNA, 2750 nt
Organism: Pecten maximus
Lineage: Eukaryota; Metazoa; Mollusca; Bivalvia; Pectinida; Pectinidae
Exons: 2
Source: RefSeq, a predicted model, not a curated record